Molecule: non-coding RNA, 71 nt
Organism: Lasiosphaeria ovina
Lineage: Eukaryota; Fungi; Ascomycota; Sordariomycetes; Sordariales; Lasiosphaeriaceae
Source: the annotation of a GenBank genome assembly
GCCUUGUGGCGCAACGGUAGCGCGUUCGACUCCAGAUCGGAAGGUUAUCCGUACGAUUGUCUCCACGCGCA